This 440-nucleotide ribosomal RNA is filed under the name uncultured bacterium. RNAcentral's name for it is "partial 16S ribosomal RNA". It matches the Rfam family "Bacterial small subunit ribosomal RNA", at positions 338 to 795 of the family's 1533-position model. The record is from RNAcentral.
CCUACGGGCGGCAGCAGUAGGGAAUAUUGCUCAAUGGGGGAAACCCUGAAGCAGCAACGCCGCGUGGAGGAUGAAGGUUUUCGGAUUGUAAACUCCUUUUGUUAGAGAAGAUAAUGACGGUAUCUAACGAAUAAGCACUGGCUAACUCCGUGCCAGCAGCCGCGGUAAUACGGAGGGUGCAAGCGUUAAUCGGAAUCACUGGGCGUAAAGAGCGCGUAGGUGGGAUAGCAAGUCAGAUGUGAAAUCCUAUGGCUUAACCAUAGAACUGCAUUUGAAACUGUCAUUCUAGAGUAUGGGAGAGGUAGGUGGAAUUCUUGGUGUAGGGGUAAAAUCCGUAGAGAUCAAGAGGAAUACUCAUUGCGAAGGCGACCUGCUGGAACAUAACUGACGCUGAUGCGCGAAAGCGUGGGGAGCAAACAGGAUUAGAUACCCCAGUAGUC